This 440-nucleotide ribosomal RNA is filed under the name uncultured bacterium. RNAcentral's name for it is "partial 16S ribosomal RNA". It matches the Rfam family "Bacterial small subunit ribosomal RNA", at positions 338 to 795 of the family's 1533-position model. The record is from RNAcentral.
CCUACGGGUGGCUGCAGUGGGGAAUAUUGCACAAUGGGGGAAACCCUGAUGCAGCGACGCCGCGUGAGUGAAGAAGUAUUUCUGUACGUAAAGCUCUAUCAGCAGGGAAGAAAAUGACGGUACCUGACUAAGAAUCCCCGGCCAACAACGUGCCAGCGGGCGCGGCAAUACGUAGGGGGCAGGCGUUAUCCGGAUUUACCGGGUGUAAAGGGAGCGUAGACGGCAGCGCAAGUCUGCGUGCAACUCCCAUGGCUUACCCAUGGAACUGCUUUGGAAACUGUGCAGCUAGAGUGCAGGAGCGGUAAGCGGAAUUCCUAGUGUAGCGGUGAAAUGCGUAGAUAUUAGGAGGAACACCAGUGGCGAAGGCGGCUUACUGGACUGUAACUGACGUUGCUGCUCGCAAGCGUGGGGAGCAAACAGGAUUAGAUACCCUAGUAGUC